GGCACUUUCCCACGCCCCAGUACCUGUUGUGGGGAUUAUGAAAGGUGUUCCAGUAGUAGUCUUGAAUAUCUUCUUGACAUCUUCGAGGAGAUUCUUUGUCAAUGCAGGAAUAGCCGGGGCUCGGUAGUCUUCGUUGUUCCUGUUCAUCGCACGGAUCACGGGCUCAGGGAUGUUCACUGGCCCUGGAACAAAGAGGUGGUUCCUCCCAGGCCCAUAGACGUAGUCCAUCUUUCUUGGAUGAUGUUUGACGAAGUUAGAUGUCCCUUGUGUUGACGCU
Molecule: unclassified non-coding RNA, 277 nt
Filed under: Hevea brasiliensis (rubber tree)
Lineage: Eukaryota; Viridiplantae; Streptophyta; Magnoliopsida; Malpighiales; Euphorbiaceae
Source: RNAcentral